AUUGAACGCUGGCGGCAGGCCUAACACAUGCAAGUCGAACGGUAACAGGAAGAAGCUUGCUUCUUUGCUGACGAGUGGCGGACGGGUGAGUAAUGUCUGGGAAACUGCCUGAUGGAGGGGGAUAACUACUGGAAACGGUAGCUAAUACCGCAUAACGUCGCAAGACCAAAGAGGGGGACCUUCGGGCCUCUUGCCAUCGGAUGUGCCCAGAUGGGAUUAGCUAGUAGGUGGGGUAACGGCUCACCUAGGCGACGAUCCCUAGCUGGUCUGAGAGGAUGACCAGCCACACUGGAACUGAGACACGGUCCAGACUCCUACGGGAGGCAGCAGUGGGGAAUAUUGCACAAAGGGCGCAAGCCUGAUGCAGCCAUGCCGCGUGUAUGAAGAAGGCCUUCGGGUUGUAAAGUACUUUCGGCGGGGAGGAAGGGAGUAAAGUUAAUACCUUUGCUCAUUGACGUUACCCGCAGAAGAAGCACCGGCUAACUCCGUG
RNAcentral lists this ribosomal RNA (490 nucleotides) under uncultured bacterium. RNAcentral describes it as "partial 16S ribosomal RNA". It matches the Rfam family "Bacterial small subunit ribosomal RNA", at positions 30 to 507 of the family's 1533-position model. The record is from RNAcentral.